RNAcentral lists this transfer RNA (74 nucleotides) under Candidatus Pacearchaeota archaeon. RNAcentral's name for it is "tRNA-Pro". It matches the Rfam family "tRNA". Rfam says of the family: Transfer RNA (tRNA) molecules are approximately 80 nucleotides in length. Their secondary structure includes four short double-helical elements and three loops (D, anti-codon, and T loops). Further hydrogen bonds mediate the characteristic L-shaped molecular structure. tRNAs have two regions of fundamental functional importance: the anti-codon, which is responsible for specific mRNA codon recognition, and the 3' end, to which the tRNAs corresponding amino acid is attached (by aminoacyl-tRNA synthetases). tRNAs cope with the degeneracy of the genetic code in two manners: having more than one tRNA (with a specific anti-codon) for a particular amino acid; and 'wobble' base-pairing, i.e. permitting non-standard base-pairing at the 3rd anti-codon position. Lineage: Archaea; Nanobdellati. The record is from RNAcentral.
GGGGCCAUGGUCUAGCCUGGUUAUGAUUCGAGGUUUGGGACUUCGCGACCCCGGUUCAAAUCCGGGUGGCCCCA